Molecule: ribosomal RNA, 301 nt
Filed under: uncultured bacterium
Lineage: Bacteria
Description: partial 16S ribosomal RNA
Rfam family: Bacterial small subunit ribosomal RNA
Source: RNAcentral
CAGUAGCCACGGUAAUACGUAGGUGGCGAGCGUUGUCCGGAUUUAUUGGGCGUAAAGGGAGUGUAGGCGGUCUUUUAAGUCUGAUGUGAAAGCCCACGGCUCAACCGUGGAGGGUCAUUGGAAACUGGGAGACUUGAGUGCAGAAGAGGAGAGCGGAACUCCAUGUGUAGCGGUGAAAUGCGUAGAUAUAUGGAGGAACACCAGUGGCGAAGGCGACUCUCUGGUCUGUAACUGACGCUGAGGCUCGAAAGCGUGGGUAGCAAACAGGAUUAGAUACCCCAGUAGUCCCUGUCUCUUAUAC